UCGGGAAUAUUGCGCAAUGGAGGAAACUCUGACGCAGUGACGCCGCGUGCAGGAAGAAGGUUUUCGGAUUGUAAACUGCUUUAGACAGGGAAGAAAAAAGACAGUACCUGUAGAAUAAGCUCCGGCUAACUACGUGCCGGCAGCCGCGGUAAUACGUAGGGAGCAAGCGUUAUCCGGAUUUAUUGGGUGUAAAGGGUGCGUAGACGGAGAAGCAAGUUAGUUGUGAAAUCCCUCGGCUUAACCGAGGAACUGCAACUAAAACUACUUCCCUUGAGUGCUGGAGAGGAAAGUGGAAUUCCUAGUGUAGCGGUGAAAUGCGUAGAUAUUAGGAGGAACACCAGUGGCGAAGGCGACUUUCUGGACAGUAACUGACGUUGAGGCGCGAAAGUGUGGGGAGCAAACAGGAUUAGAUACC
This 415-nucleotide ribosomal RNA is filed under the name uncultured bacterium. Its description in RNAcentral is "bacterial SSU rRNA". It matches the Rfam family "Bacterial small subunit ribosomal RNA", at positions 355 to 786 of the family's 1533-position model. The record is from RNAcentral.